GAUGAACGCUGGCGGCGUGCCUAAUACAUGCAAGUCGAGCGAACAGACGAGGAGCUUGCUCCUCUGACGUUAGCGGCGGACGGGUGAGAACACGUGGAUAACCUACCUAUAAGACUGGGAUAACUUCGGGAAACCGGGGCUAAUACCGGAUAAUAUAUUGAACCGCAUGGUUCAAUAGUGAAAGACGGUUUUGCUGUCACUUAUAGAUGGAUCCGCGCCGCAUUAGCUAGUUGGUAAGGUAACGGCUUACCAAGGCAACGAUGCGUAGCCGACCUGAGAGGGUGAUCGGCCACACUGGAACUGAGACACGGUCCAGACUCCUACGGGAGGCAGCAGUAGGGAAUCUUCCGCAAUGGGCGAAAGCCUGACGGAGCAACGCCGCGUGAGUGAUGAAGGUCUUCGGAUCGUAAAACUCUGUUAUUAGGGAAGAACAAAUGUGUAAGUAACUAUGCACGUCUUGACGGUACCUAAUCAGAAAGCCACGGCUAACUACGUG
RNAcentral lists this ribosomal RNA (496 nucleotides) under uncultured bacterium. RNAcentral's name for it is "partial 16S ribosomal RNA". It matches the Rfam family "Bacterial small subunit ribosomal RNA", at positions 28 to 507 of the family's 1533-position model. The record is from RNAcentral.